RNAcentral lists this transfer RNA (73 nucleotides) under Thermoplasmata archaeon. RNAcentral's name for it is "tRNA-Gly". It matches the Rfam family "tRNA". Rfam says of the family: Transfer RNA (tRNA) molecules are approximately 80 nucleotides in length. Their secondary structure includes four short double-helical elements and three loops (D, anti-codon, and T loops). RNAcentral also lists the same sequence under 2 other names. Lineage: Archaea; Methanobacteriati; Thermoplasmatota; Thermoplasmata. The record is from RNAcentral.
GCAGGGAUGGUCCAGCUGGUUAAGACCCAGGCCCUCCAAGCCUGAGACCCGGGUUCAAAUCCCGGUCCCUGCA